This is a long non-coding RNA of Mauremys reevesii (Reeves's turtle), 1391 nucleotides long. RefSeq lists it as uncharacterized. Lineage: Eukaryota; Metazoa; Chordata; Testudines; Geoemydidae. The record is from RefSeq and is a predicted model, not a curated record. The transcript is spliced from 3 exons.
GGCUGCAGAGCAGCACCAUUUCAGUCAUUCCCUGAAGCUUGAGGAGGAUGACUAGGUGCCUUGCAGGCUAAUGGUAAUACAUCACUCCAGAGGAACAACUUGCCUUCCAACAGCAUACUGGACAACGUUCCUGACCUGCAGAUAAGCUCAACACAAGGUGUCUCACAAUGCAAGUCUACUUGCAUAUGGAGUUGCCAGCUAACCAGACUAUGAAAUCAUCAAGAGAUUGUGAAAUCUACAGGAAGGAACACACAGCAGGAUGGUGUCCAGUUUAUGAAUAAAGAUCAAAGGACUGUUCUGAUAUAUUUGGGAUUGCAAAGAUGCACUAUAUCCUUUAACUAUGGGACAAGCUGGCAGGGCAUCUUGUCUCAUGAAAAGGAUCACUGCCAGAUUUUGUUGAAAAAUGCUAGGAGGACCUUGCUCCUAGCAUUUUUUGCUCUAGAACUUAUAAGACAUGAAGGUAUCUAGUUAAAUAAGUCUCUUAUCUAGAAUAAGUGUUACGAUUUUAUUUUAUAAGUAACCACCUGUUUCCAGUAUUUCUACUUGCUGCUAUUUGCACUCCUUCUCUUUCUUAAAUAAGAGGUUGUUUUCACAAUAAACAUAUCUAAGUGCUGUGUUCAGUGAUCUGAGGCAAAGCUGUUUCUUUGGGAAUCUGAAUACUGUGCCUAGUGGAUCAGGGGCUGGAGGCUCCAGGGAGGCAUGCAGAGGGUUUAGGGGUUGGAGUGUGCAGAUUGCUAACCUGCAGAGGGAGAGAGACCCCUGCGUAGAAUUAGAGGGGAGUGCUUGUGUUUCCUGUGGCUGGUGGAGUCAGAGCUAACUCAUGAUAGGCACAGACCAGGCUUCCUCACUCUAGGGGCAGGAUUAGCAGAGUGUCUGAUGACCCUAGGUACUCUCAGGAAGUGUCAGGGUAGUGUUGCUUCACAAGUACAGGUGUUUGUGAUGAGAUUAGUGUCACUGACACUUGUUGUGAUUGUUCCUCAAUAACAGAGGGUGUUGUCCAAAACAAGGACAGCAGAAACUGAGUAAGAAUAUCAGCCAAUUAUAGCAAAUGAUACUCCAGUUGUAGCAAUAUAACAUCCACCAAGAAUAAAGCAUUAGGCAUCAGCCAGUGGGCUACUUUGCAUUUGUUUCUUAUUGAUUAAAACACCUUUAUACUAAAGUAGCAUUGUAUCAUGCCUUGGGGGAGAGCAAGCUUAUCACCAAAGGACUUAAGUUUAUGCCUAACUUUGAGUAUGCACUUACUUCCUCAGUGAAGUCAAUAGGGAAUUCUCAGCUGGGAAGAUCUGGCCAAUUUCUAGGCCCUUUGCCACUGGAACAGUACAAAGAGGUGUGAUCACAAGAGAACCUGACCCUGAUUGUUUAUAUAUUAAAAAUAUACCUAUAGUACUGAA